This 300-nucleotide ribosomal RNA is filed under the name Triticum aestivum (bread wheat). RNAcentral describes it as "partial small subunit ribosomal RNA". Lineage: Eukaryota; Viridiplantae; Streptophyta; Magnoliopsida; Poales; Poaceae. The record is from RNAcentral.
AUGCAACCAUCAGACUUGUUUUCAGAUGUCCCACUGCACCCUGACGAUAGGAGCCAAACAGGUCUAUGUGGUUGUCAACCAGAUAGAGCAACUGGUCUGGUCUGUCGCAGGGAGACCCAGCAACUUGUCACCAUUGAGGUGAGGCCAGCCAGAUUGCAAACACAGGCAAAAAAGGAUGGCAAUGUUGCUGCAGAUCCAGUGCUUUUUGAAUCUCCAACUUAUACUGCACCUUGCCAGCAGUGUCUACUGAAUUUGAAACUCAGACUUGCCAAUCAAGUGUAUCUGCACAACAAAGUUUAG